This 1131-nucleotide ribosomal RNA is filed under the name uncultured bacterium. RNAcentral describes it as "bacterial SSU rRNA". It matches the Rfam family "Bacterial small subunit ribosomal RNA", at positions 304 to 1436 of the family's 1533-position model. The record is from RNAcentral.
CCCCCCACACUGGUACUGAGACACGGACCAGACUCCUACGGGAGGCAGCAGUGAGGAAUAUUGGUCAAUGGGCGCGAGCCUGAACCAGCCAUCCCGCGUGCAGGAUGACGGCCCUAUGGGUUGUAAACUGCUUUUCUACGCCAAGAAACCCUGUUACGUGUAACAGGUUGCCGGUAGCGUAGGAAUAAGCAUCGGCUAACUCCGUGCCAGCAGCCGCGGUAAUACGGAGGAUGCAAGCGUUAUCCGGAUUCAUUGGGUUUAAAGGGUGCGCAGGUUGGCUUGUAAGUCAGUGGUGAAAUACUGCCGCUUAACGGUAGAAUUGCCAUUGAUACUGCGGGUCUUGAGUAUGGUUGAGGUAGGCGGAAUGUGUUGUGUAGCGGUGAAAUGCAUAGAUAUGACACAGAACGCCGAUUGCGAAGGCAGCUUACUAAGCCAUUACUGACGCUGAGGCACGAAAGCGUGGGGAGCGAACAGGAUUAGAUACCCUGGUAGUCCACGCUGUAAACGAUGUUCACUCGCUGUUUGCGAUACACAGUAAGCGGCUGAGCGAAAGCAUUAAGUGAACCACCUGGGGAGUACGAUCGCAAGGUUGAAACUCAAAGGAAUUGACGGGGGCCCGCACAAGCGGAGGAACAUGUGGUUUAAUUCGAUGAUACGCGAGGAACCUUACCUGGGCUUAAAUGUAGAUUGCAUAACUUAGAAAUAGGUUUUCCCUUCGGGGCUAUUUACAAGGUGCUGCAUGGUUGUCGUCAGCUCGUGCCGUGAGGUGUCGGGUUAAGUCCCAUAACGAGCGCAACCCCUACUGUUAGUUGCCAUCGGGUGAAGCCGGGGACUCUAGCGGGACUGCCACCGUAAGGUGAGAGGAAGGUGGGGAUGACGUCAAAUCAGCACGGCCCUUAUGUCCAGGGCUACACACGUGUUACAAUGGCCGGUACAAAGGGCAGCUACACAGCGAUGUGAUGCUAAUCCCAAAAGCCGGUCCCAGUUCGGAUUGGAGUCUGCAACCCGACUCCAUGAAGUUGGAUUCGCUAGUAAUCGCGCAUCAGCCAUGGCGCGGUGAAUACGUUCCCGGGCCUUGUACACACCGCCCGUCAAACCAUGGGAGCUGGGGGUGCCUGAAGUCUGUAGCCG